Argiope bruennichi is the source of this 2352-nucleotide long non-coding RNA. RefSeq lists it as uncharacterized. The transcript is spliced from 11 exons. The record is from RefSeq and is a predicted model, not a curated record. NCBI's taxonomy places the organism in Eukaryota, Metazoa, Arthropoda, Arachnida, Araneae, Araneidae.
UCUUAGUUUUGAAAACAGAGUUGGAGUUCUAAUAUUUUGAUUAAAAAUGGUUAUAUAAUUCAUGUUUUGCGAUGAUAUAUCUUGUGUAGGUUAAUAUUUGCAAACUUUAUUGUGUAAUAUAAAAGUAAAUAAUAAGGCGUGAGCACGCCACACCUGAUAGUAACGUACGGGAAGAAGGGUUGACAAUAGUGCCGAGGACCAGGGCCGAAAUUUUUCUCUGCAAACGCUAGUUUCGUCACCUAUCGUACUAAGAUGAUCACAGCCAAGCUUUCCUCAUCAUCACAAUCAAUUCCUAUAAAGCGCACAUUUUGCGGAAAAACAAUUAUUAGACAGGCACAUGCCUUAUUGGACAAUAUUCUUUGGAGUUGCAGUAAUUCUCUACUGGCUCUCUUUUAAUAUAUGGAAGAGGAAUUUGGUCAUCUAAAUUUGAACUAGCUGAAACUGGUACUUCUACUACUUCUAGAAUGGAAUUUUAAAUCAAUAUUAUGAUGGUCUAUGGAUGGAUUACUAGCCACUGGCACACCAUCUGGGAUGAAAGGAUCCAUGUUUGCUAUCUCAGAAGUUUUUGUGCAACUGUCAACAAGAAUUUGAAUUUGCCCGAGUAUUGGUUGUAUUUUCUAUGCCUCUGUGGUUUUACCAUAUUUAUGAAGCUAAUGAAUCCAUGGUACAUUUUGAGGAGAAACGUUUAUAAGAGAGGCACAUGCCUUAUUGGAGGAUUUUCUUUUGUAUCAUAAUCAUUUACUGGCUCUUUUUUAAUAUGCGGAAGAGGAAUUUGGUCAUCUAAAUUGAAACUAUUUUCAUUAUUUGUAGAAUACAAGCUAUGAUCAACAUUUUCGCAACUAAAGAUCAGGUAUUUAUUGACUAAAAACUUCCUGUAAAUUGAUAUUCCCUGAACAAUUUGUCUAAAAAUCUCUCAUUCUAUACCUAUGAAAAGCCACUGGCACACCAUCUGGGAUGAAAGGAUCCAUGUUUCGUGUCUCGGAAGUUUUUGUGCAACUGUCGUCAAGAAUUUGGAAUCAUCAGGAAUCUUCCUUCUGGCGCUACUACAUAAGGCACUUCUACUAAGGUGUUUCAUUGAAGCUCAGUUAUUGCACCUGCCUCUGCGCUGCAGUUAAAGAAUUAAAACUUUUAUUUGGUUCAAUUUUAUUUGUACUUUUAAAAGAAGCGAAAGCUCUGUCAUUAUUCUAAUUAAGAAAUUAUUCUAUUUAGAAAUUUCAAAAUCUUGAAAUACUACAAAUAUUGUAAACAAAGUUUUAAUAAAUUUUGUUUUUAAUUGACUGUGAAAAUAUUAUUUAUUCUUGAAAUUUAUCAUUUCAGGUUACUGCUUGGAUGUAUAUGUUGUAUAAGCCAUUUCAAAAAAUUCAGUCAAAAUUUUGAUACAUUUUGCGGAAAAACAUUUAUUAGACAGGCACAUGCCUUAUUGGACGAUAUUCUUUGGAAUUGCAGAAAUUCUCUACUGGCUCUCUUUUAAUAUAUGGAAGAGGAAUUUGGUCAUCUAAAUUUGAACUAGCUGAAACUGGUACUUCUACUACGUCUAGAAUGGAAUUUUAAAUCAAUAUUAUGAUGGUCUAUGGAUGGAUUACUAGCCACUGGCACACCAUCUGGGAUGAAAGGAUCCAUGUUUCGUUUCUCGGAAGUUUUUGUGCAACUGUUCACAAGAAUUUGGAUUUGCCCGCAUAUUGGUUGUAUUUUCUGUGCCUCUCUGAUUUUUCCAUAUUUAUGAAGUUAAUGAACCCAUAGUACAUUUUGAGGAGAAACGUUUAUAAGAGAGGCACAUGCCUUAUUGGAGGAUUUUCUUUUGUAUCAUAAUCAUUUACUGGCUCUUUUUUAAUAUGCGGAAGAGGAAUUUGGUCAUCUAAAUUGAAACUAUUUUCAUUAUUUGUAGAAUACAAGCUAUGAUCAACAUUUUCGCAACUAAAGAUCAGGUAUUUAUUGACUAAAAACUUCCUGUAAAUUGAUAUUCCCUGAACAAUUUGUCUAAAAAUCUCUCAUUCUAUACCUAUGAAAAGCCACUGGCACAGCAUCUGGGAUGAAAGGAUCCAUGUUUCGUGUCUCGGAAGUUUUUGUGCAACUGUCGUCAAGAAUUUGGAAUCAUCAGGAAUCUUCCUUCUGGCACUACUACAUAAGGCACUUCUACUAAGGCGUUUCAGGGAAGCUCAAUUAUUGCACCUGCCUCUGCCCUGCAGUUAAAGAAUUGAAACUUUAAUUUUGUUCAAUUUUAUUUGUACUUUUAAAAGAAGCAAAACUCUGUCAUUAUUCUAAUUAAGAAAUUAUUCUAUUUAGAAAUUUCAAAAUCUUGAAAUACUACAAAUAUUGUAAACAAAGUUUUAAUAAAUUUUGUUUUUAAUUGAC